GGAGACGAAAUUGUGUUUCCUGUCUACGAGAUCGUUCGCUGUUCAAGAUAACUAAAGCAGUUCAUUUUAUUUGAAAGCAAAGGACAAGUGAAAAAAUUUUGUAGAAAUAGAAGUUGUGAAGUGUCCAAUACACGUAUUCAGGGCCACGUGAGAGACAAGGCUUCCAGCAAAGUUUGUCCUCUUCAUGGACGACUACUGAUAGCAAGGUCUGAACAUUGACUUCUUGAAAAACAAAGAGAGACCAUUGACACUCACUGAGGGAAAGUUGCUGGACCUGCUAAUAUGGCCAAGCGGAAGAAGGGGGCGGGAGGUGGUGGAGCAGAUUCUGGCGGUGGUGGCCGGGUCAAAGUUUAUCUCCAUGCCGUGACCAAUGAUGAGGCUGCUCUUCUAACAGACAAUGGAAAGACAAGCCCCCUUCAAGAAGUCAAAAAGCAGUCACGUGCUUCUGAAGUACAGUUCCAUCAGAAUCAGCCUGUAACGGACAUGAAGAUUAUCAUCAUCUGUGGCAAUCCAAAACAAAUCGAGAAGGCUGUCAGCCUCAUCAAUCAGAAAACUGGUUCUAAGGAAACCAUUUCAGAUCAAGCCCAGAAAUUCUGGCUCCAGUGGGUUCAGGAAGCGUUCCCUGAUCUCGACUCUCGCGCCUACUUCCUGCCUCCUGUCUACGUCAACCGCGUGCCGAUGACCCCAGGGUCAGUUGGUGGUCAGGAUGUUCUGAUCCUUAACACAGAACACGGACAGUCUAGUAAGUCAAACCAGCCAACACCACAUGAAGGAGUCGGAGGGUCCAGCGAGCAGGAACUGCCUAGACAUGCAUGUGUGAGCAUUCAUCCAAGUCUUCCUGAUGACGAAUAUCAGGACACCCAACCUACUUUACCUGGACAAACCAGUCAAUGUAUCCAACCAACAUCAGAUGAAGAGUCUUGCAUUUGCAACCACAGAUUACCAUCUGGACACUUCAGCCAGGUAAGCCAGCUGGCACCAGAUCACAAGGCCAGGGGUUCAAACCAUAUGGCACCACAAGAACAGGCCGGUAACUACAUCCAAGCGGCAUCACCAAGACAGGCAGAUGAGUGCAUUCAACUGACACUACCUGGAGAAGUCAGCCACUACAAUGAGACAUCACACAAACAUAACGGUCAGUUCAUUCAGACUACUCCUGGACAGGCUGAUCAAUACAUUCACACUUCACAACCUACACAGACAGGUCAGUACAAUCAACUGACCCAAACUGGAAAUACAGAUCAGCACAUUCAAUCGGGCCCACCUGUACAUACCGGUCAGUACAAGCAGACAACACCAAACGUACAAGGCGGUCAGCAUCUCCAGACGACAACAACAGGACACACCUGUCAGUACAUCCAUUCACCUCCAAGACAAGAUAGUCAAGGCAACCAGAGUUAUCCAUCUGGACAGACUGGUCAGUUUAGCCAGACAACAUCAGGACGAUAUAUUCAUGACACACAGGAGACAGGAUUUGGACUAGCAAGUCAAUAUAAGCCGACAUUACCUGGACAAGGUGAGUACAACAAUGUACCAGCUGCGCAGGCCUAUCAGUAUAGCCAGACAAUACCACUUGGACAAGCAGGUCUGUACAUGCAUCCGACUGCACGUGGGGAGGCAUAUCAGUAUAGUAAGAUGAUACAAUGUGGACUGACAUCUCAGUCUAUGCUGACGAUACCACCUAGACAGGCAGACCAGGAUAUUCUGUCGCCAUCUGGACGGACCGGUGACUACAUCCAGACACCACCUGAACCAACAGGUCACUAUAUCCAGACAAAAGCACAUGGACAAGCAGGUGCAUGCAUCCUUCCGACUCCACAUCAGCAGACAUCUCAGCGCAUUGAGCUUGAAGCUUCUUCUUCCGAUGUCGUUCAGCCUUCAGUCCAUCGGCCUGCUAACGUUCUAGACAGUGACGUCAGAGAUGACGCUGCCAAGCAACGAGUUCUGGUCUGCCUGCAGGAAUUUUAUGAACAAAAUAAAGAAGUUUUGGUUGGGAUGAGUCAACUUUUGUUUGGACAGUACCUUAGUGAACCUUGUUACGCUGCUGCAGCUGCCCAGCUCCCCACAGCCGCCAACCUUCCUCCUGCUCUCCCUCGGAACUGCAAACAGGGAGACUUUGAUCUGCUGCUGAUUCACCGACAUCACGGUUUUGUCGUCUGUGAAUUGAAGGCGUUUGGUGACAACACACAGACACUGAACUUGUCACAGCAGGAUAUAGACAAGAAAAUUAGACAGAAACAGAGACGCCGUGUCACAGCUGGACAAGGCGGAGGCCAUGUUGUCUCACCUGGUGUCCGACAUCACUCCCGGUCUGCGCAUCACUAAGACCAUCGCUUUCCCCAACCUCACGGCUGAUCAGGUGCAACAGGCCAUCUCUGAAGACAUUCCUCUGACUGAGAACCUGUGUCGGUGUCUGGGAACAUCAGACCCCGCUGCCAUCCCAGGUCUGUGUCUGUGC
RNAcentral lists this unclassified non-coding RNA (2458 nucleotides) under Pomacea canaliculata. Its description in RNAcentral is "uncharacterized LOC112576088, transcript variant X2". The record is from RNAcentral. Lineage: Eukaryota; Metazoa; Mollusca; Gastropoda; Architaenioglossa; Ampullariidae.